Molecule: ribosomal RNA, 554 nt
Filed under: uncultured bacterium
Lineage: Bacteria
Description: bacterial SSU rRNA
Rfam family: Bacterial small subunit ribosomal RNA
Source: RNAcentral
GGGUUGUAUGUAGGCACUCUGACCAGCCAUGCCGCGUGCAGGAAGACGGCCCUAUGGGUUGUAAACUGCUUUUGUACGGGAGAAAACCCUUUCACGUGUGAGAGGUUGAUAGUACCGUAAGAAUAAGCAUCGGCUAACUUCGUGCCAGCAGCCGCGGUAAGACGAAGGAUGCAAGCGUUAUCCGGAUUCAUUGGGUUUAAAGGGAGCGUAGGUGGACUUGUAAGUCAGUGGUGAAAUCUCUCAGCUUAACUGAAAAACUGCCAUUGAUACUGCAGGUCUUGAGUACAGAUGAUGUGGGCGGAAUAUGACAUGUAGUGGUGAAAUACUUAGAUAUGUCAUAAAACACCGAUUGCGAAGGCAGCUCACAAAACUGUAACUGACACUGAGGCUCGAAAGUGCGGGGAUCAAACAGGAUUAGAUACCCUGGUAGUCCGCACCGUAAACGAUGAUUACUCGUUGUUAGCGAUAUGACAGUUAGCGACCAAGCGAAAGCGAUAAGUAAUCCACCUGGGGAGUACGCCGGCAACGGUGAAACUCAAAGGAAUUGACGGAGU